UACUUGAUAAUUUUUGUCUCACCUGUAAAGAAAAUCACAGAUAGAAAGACACAUGGAUUGCUUUUCUGAUGGCUGCAGUGUAAACUUUUAUCAAAGUUUUGUGAUCAGGUCAGUUUUGAGCAACUAGGCUACUUUCAAGUUUUGUCCCUGCUGUUACUCAGUAACUAUACUUAGUAGGUCAAUAUUAUUUUGUCUAUGGGAUAAAGGGAAGGUUCUAAAGUCAGUGUAACACCUAGCUGUCACCCAACCCUGACCUCAUUUUCAUGGUCCACUGACCACAUUUAGAUUUUGGGAUAAGGUCUUGUUUCUUUGUAACUAUACUUGUAAGUUAAUGAUAUUUUGAUUAUGGAUUCGUCCCAUGGUAAGAUGUACUGGUAAGUCAGUCUGACACCUGUCAUCCAACCCUGACCUCAUUUUUAUGGUUCAAUGACCAGGUUAAUAUUUUAUUAGGUCUGUUUCGGGCAAUUGUAUUUGGUCUAUGUAUUCAUGCAAAGGUCAGUCUGAUAUAAGGUCAAUAUUUAGUGACUUACCAUCCUUGACCGGGGGACAGGGGAUUCCAUCUCUUUGGGGUAGGCGAAGUGUGAAUCAUGUAAAAUCAUUAUAAAAAUAGACAGAAG
Molecule: long non-coding RNA, 617 nt
Filed under: Mytilus galloprovincialis (Mediterranean mussel)
Lineage: Eukaryota; Metazoa; Mollusca; Bivalvia; Mytilida; Mytilidae
Source: RNAcentral